AGGGUGUAAACGCUGCAGACUUGGUGUUGGAGGCCCUUUGGGGGCAUUCAGUGCCGGAGAGAAGUUGUUAAGUCUGCUACUUGGGGAGUACGUCCGCAAGGAUGAAACUUAAAGGAAUUGGCGGGGGAGCACCGCAACGGGAGGAGCGUGCGGUUUAAUUGGAUUCAACACCGUAAACUCACCAGGGAAGACUGUUACAUGAAGGCCGAGAUGAAGACUCUGCUAGAUUUUCAGAGAGGUGGUGCAUGGCGUCAGUGACU
Molecule: ribosomal RNA, 260 nt
Filed under: uncultured archaeon
Lineage: Archaea
Description: partial 16S ribosomal RNA
Rfam family: Archaeal small subunit ribosomal RNA
Source: RNAcentral